Molecule: non-coding RNA, 696 nt
Filed under: Haladaptatus sp. R4
Lineage: Archaea; Methanobacteriati; Methanobacteriota; Halobacteria; Halobacteriales; Haladaptataceae
Description: bacterial SSU rRNA
Rfam family: Bacterial small subunit ribosomal RNA
Source: RNAcentral
CUUGCGGAUGGGCCCGCGGCGCAUUAGCUAGUUGGUGAGGUAACGGCUCACCAAGGCGACGAUGCGUAGCCGGCCUGAGAGGGUGACCGGCCACACUGGGACUGAGACACGGCCCAGACUCCUACGGGAGGCAGCAGUAGGGAAUCUUCCGCAAUGGGCGAAAGCCUGACGAGCGACCGCCGCGUGAGCGAAGAAGGCCUUCGGGUCGUAAAGCUCUGUUGUGAGGGACGAAGGAGCGCCGUUCGAAGAGGGCGGCGCGGUGACGGUACCUCACGAGGAAGCCCCGGCUAACUACGUGCCCGCAGCCGCGGUAAUACGUAGGUGGCAAGCGUUAUCCGGAAUUAUUGGGCGUAAAGCGCGCGUAGGCGGUUUUUUAAGUCUGAUGUGAAAGCCCACGGCUCAACCGUGGAGGGUCAUUGGAAACUGGAAAACUUGAGUGCAGAAGAGGAAAGUGGAAUUCCAUGUGUAGCGGUGAAAUGCGCAGAGAUAUGGAGGAACACCAGUGGCGAAGGCGACUUUCUGGUCUGUAACUGACGCUGAUGUGCGAAAGCGUGGGGAUCAAACAGGAUUAGAUACCCGGGUAGUCCUCGCCGUAAACGAUGAGUGCUAAGUGUUAGGGGGUUUCCGCCCCUUAGUGCUGCAGCUAACGCAUUAAGCACUCCGCCUGGGGAGUACGACCGCAAGGUUGAAACUCAA